RNAcentral lists this ribosomal RNA (409 nucleotides) under bacterium. Its description in RNAcentral is "partial 16S ribosomal RNA". It matches the Rfam family "Bacterial small subunit ribosomal RNA", at positions 355 to 776 of the family's 1533-position model. The record is from RNAcentral.
UGGGGAAUAUUGCACAAUGGGCGAAAGCCUGAUGCAGCGACGCCGCGUGAGGGAUGACGGCCUUCGGGUUGUAAACCUCUUUCAGCAGGGACGAAGCGCAAGUGACGGUACCUGCAGAAGAAGCACCGGCUAACUACGUGCCAGCAGCCGCGGUAAUACGUAGGGUGCAAGCGUUGUCCGGAAUUACUGGGCGUAAAGAGUUCGUAGGCGGUUUGUCGCGUCGUUUGUGAAAACCAGCAGCUCAACUGCUGGCUUGCAGGGGAUACGGGCAGACUUGAGUACUGCAGGGGAGACUGGAAUUCAUGGUGUAGCGGUGAAAUGCGAAGAUAUGAGGAGGAACACCGGUGGCGAAGGGGGGUCUCUGGGCAGUAACGGACGCUGAGGAACGAAAGCGUGGGUAGCGAACAGG